GGGUUGUGAGGUUAAGCGACUAAGCGUACACGGUGGAUGCCCUGGCAGUCAGAGGCGAUGAAGGACGUGCUAAUCUGCGAUAAGCGUCGGUAAGGUGAUAUGAACCGUUAUAACCGGCGAUUUCCGAAUGGGGAAACCCAGUGUGUUUCGACACACUAUCAUUAACUGAAUCCAUAGGUUAAUGAGGCGAACCGGGGGAACUGAAACAUCUAAGUACCCCGAGGAAAAGAAAUCAACCGAGAUUCCCCCAGUAGCGGCGAGCGAACGGGGAGCAGCCCAGAGCCUGAAUCAGUGUGUGUGUUAGUGGAAGCGUCUGGAAAGGCGCGCGAUACAGGGUGACAGCCCCGUACACAAAAAUGCACAUGCUGUGAGCUCGAUGAGUAGGGCGGGACACGUGGUAUCCUGUCUGAAUAUGGGGGGACCAUCCUCCAAGGCUAAAUACUCCUGACUGACCGAUAGUGAACCAGUACCGUGAGGGAAAGGCGAAAAGAACCCCGGCGAGGGGAGUGAAAAAGAACCUGAAACCGUGUACGUACAAGCAGUGGGAGCACGCUUAGGCGUGUGACUGCGUACCUUUUGUAUAAUGGGUCAGCGACUUAUAUUCUGUAGCAAGGUUAACCGAAUAGGGGAGCCGAAGGGAAACCGAGUCUUAACUGGGCGUUAAGUUGCAGGGUAUAGACCCGAAACCCGGUGAUCUAGCCAUGGGCAGGUUGAAGGUUGGGUAACACUAACUGGAGGACCGAACCGACUAAUGUUGAAAAAUUAGCGGAUGACUUGUGGCUGGGGGUGAAAGGCCAAUCAAACCGGGAGAUAGCUGGUUCUCCCCGAAAGCUAUUUAGGUAGCGCCUCGUGAAUUCAUCUCCGGGGGUAGAGCACUGUUUCGGCAAGGGGGUCAUCCCGACUUACCAACCCGAUGCAAACUGCGAAUACCGGAGAAUGUUAUCACGGGAGACACACGGCGGGUGCUAACGUCCGUCGUGAAGAGGGAAACAACCCAGACCGCCAGCUAAGGUCCCAAAGUCAUGGUUAAGUGGGAAACGAUGUGGGAAGGCCCAGACAGCCAGGAUGUUGGCUUAGAAGCAGCCAUCAUUUAAAGAAAGCGUAAUAGCUCACUGGUCGAGUCGGCCUGCGCGGAAGAUGUAACGGGGCUAAACCAUGCACCGAAGCUGCGGCAGCGACGCUGAUGCGUUGUUGGGUAGGGGAGCGUUCUGUAAGCCUGCGAAGGUGUGCUGUGAGGCAUGCUGGAGGUAUCAGAAGUGCGAAUGCUGACAUAAGUAACGAUAAAGCGGGUGAAAAGCCCGCUCGCCGGAAGACCAAGGGUUCCUGUCCAACGUUAAUCGGGGCAGGGUGAGUCGACCCCUAAGGCGAGGCCGAAAGGCGUAGUCGAUGGGAAACAGGUUAAUAUUCCUGUACUUGGUGUUACUGCGAAGGGGGGACGGAGAAGGCUAUGUUGGCCGGGCGACGGUUGUCCCGGUUUAAGCGUGUAGGCUGGUUUUCCAGGCAAAUCCGGAAAACUAAGGCUGAGGCGUGAUGACGAGGCACUACGGUGCUGAAGCAACAAAUGCCCUGCUUCCAGGAAAAGCCUCUAAGCAUCAGGUAACAUCAAAUCGUACCCCAAACCGACACAGGUGGUCAGGUAGAGAAUACCAAGGCGCUUGAGAGAACUCGGGUGAAGGAACUAGGCAAAAUGGUGCCGUAACUUCGGGAGAAGGCACGCUGAUAUGUAGGUGAAGUCCCUCGCGGAUGGAGCUGAAAUCAGUCGAAGAUACCAGCUGGCUGCAACUGUUUAUUAAAAACACAGCACUGUGCAAACACGAAAGUGGACGUAUACGGUGUGACGCCUGCCCGGUGCCGGAAGGUUAAUUGAUGGGGUUAGCGCAAGCGAAGCUCUUGAUCGAAGCCCCGGUAAACGGCGGCCGUAACUAUAACGGUCCUAAGGUAGCGAAAUUCCUUGUCGGGUAAGUUCCGACCUGCACGAAUGGCGUAAUGAUGGCCAGGCUGUCUCCACCCGAGACUCAGUGAAAUUGAACUCGCUGUGAAGAUGCAGUGUACCCGCGGCAAGACGGAAAGACCCCGUGAACCUUUACUAUAGCUUGACACUGAACAUUGAGCCUUGAUGUGUAGGAUAGGUGGGAGGCUUUGAAGUGUGGACGCCAGUCUGCAUGGAGCCGACCUUGAAAUACCACCCUUUAAUGUUUGAUGUUCUAACGUUGACCCGUAAUCCGGGUUGCGGACAGUGUCUGGUGGGUAGUUUGACUGGGGCGGUCUCCUCCUAAAGAGUAACGGAGGAGCACGAAGGUUGGCUAAUCCUGGUCGGACAUCAGGAGGUUAGUGCAAUGGCAUAAGCCAGCUUGACUGCGAGCGUGACGGCGCGAGCAGGUGCGAAAGCAGGUCAUAGUGAUCCGGUGGUUCUGAAUGGAAGGGCCAUCGCUCAACGGAUAAAAGGUACUCCGGGGAUAACAGGCUGAUACCGCCCAAGAGUUCAUAUCGACGGCGGUGUUUGGCACCUCGAUGUCGGCUCAUCACAUCCUGGGGCUGAAGUAGGUCCCAAGGGUAUGGCUGUUCGCCAUUUAAAGUGGUACGCGAGCUGGGUUUAGAACGUCGUGAGACAGUUCGGUCCCUAUCUGCCGUGGGCGCUGGAGAACUGAGGGGGGCUGCUCCUAGUACGAGAGGACCGGAGUGGACGCAUCACUGGUGUUCGGGUUGUCAUGCCAAUGGCACUGCCCGGUAGCUAAAUGCGGAAGAGAUAAGUGCUGAAAGCAUCUAAGCACGAAACUUGCCCCGAGAUGAGUUCUCCCUGACUCCUUGAGAGUCCUGAAGGAACGUUGAAGACGACGACGUUGAUAGGCCGGGUGUGUAAGCGCAGCGAUGCGUUGAGCUAACCGGUACUAAUGAACCGUGAGGCUUAACCUUACAACGCCGAAGCUGUU
Molecule: ribosomal RNA, 2930 nt
Filed under: Escherichia coli
Lineage: Bacteria; Pseudomonadati; Pseudomonadota; Gammaproteobacteria; Enterobacterales; Enterobacteriaceae
Description: 23S ribosomal RNA
Rfam family: Bacterial large subunit ribosomal RNA
Source: RNAcentral